RNAcentral lists this unclassified non-coding RNA (329 nucleotides) under soil metagenome. Its description in RNAcentral is "partial contains 5.8S ribosomal RNA, internal transcribed spacer 2, and large subunit ribosomal RNA". The stretch from base 1 to 120 matches the Rfam family "5.8S ribosomal RNA", at positions 35 to 154 of the family's 154-position model. The record is from RNAcentral.
GAUGAAGAACGUAGCGAAAUGCGAUACGUAAUGUGAAUUGCAGAAUUCAGUGAAUCAUCGAGUCUUUGAACGCACAUUGCGCCCCCUGGUAUUCCGGGGGGCAUGCCUGUCCGAGCGUCAUUUCACCACUCAAGCCUGGCUUGGUGUUGGGCGACGUCCCCUUUGGGGACGCGCCUCGAAACGCUCGGCGGCGUGGCACCGGCUUUAAGCGUAGCAGAAUCUUUCGCUUUGGAAGUCGGGGCCCCGUCUGCCGGAAGACCUACUCGCAAGGUUGACCUCGGAUCAGGCAGGGAUACCCGCUGAACUUAAGCAUAUCAAUAAGCGGAGGA